Molecule: ribosomal RNA, 492 nt
Filed under: uncultured bacterium
Lineage: Bacteria
Description: partial 16S ribosomal RNA
Rfam family: Bacterial small subunit ribosomal RNA
Source: RNAcentral
AGUGAACGCUGGCGGUAGGCCUAACACAUGCAAGUCGAACGGCAGCACAGUAAGAGCUUGCUCUUACGGGUGGCGAGUGGCGGACGGGUGAGGAAUACAUCGGAAUCUACUUUUUCGUGGGGGAUAACGUAGGGAAACUUACGCUAAUACCGCAUACGACCUACGGGUGAAAGCAGGGGAUCUUCGGACCUUGCGCGAUUGAAUGAGCCGAUGUCGGAUUAGCUAGUUGGCGGGGUAAAGGCCCACCAAGGCGACGAUCUGUAGCUGGUCUGAGAGGAUGAUCAGCCACACUGGAACUGAGACACGGUCCAGACUCCUACGGGAGGCAGCAGUGGGGAAUAUUGGACAAUGGGCGCAAGCCUGAUCCAGCCAUACCGCGUGGGUGAAGAAGGCCUUCGGGUUGUAAAGCCCUCUUGUUGGGAAAGAAAAGCAGCAGGUUAAUACCCCGCUGUUCUGACGGUACCCAAAGAAUAAGCACCGGCUAACUUCGUG